RNAcentral lists this ribosomal RNA (164 nucleotides) under Campylocentrum neglectum. RNAcentral describes it as "5.8S ribosomal RNA". It matches the Rfam family "5.8S ribosomal RNA". From Rfam's summary of the family: 5.8S ribosomal RNA (5.8S rRNA) is a component of the large subunit of the eukaryotic ribosome. It is transcribed by RNA polymerase I as part of the 45S precursor that also contains 18S and 28S rRNA. Lineage: Eukaryota; Viridiplantae; Streptophyta; Magnoliopsida; Asparagales; Orchidaceae. The record is from RNAcentral.
GACACGACUCUCGGCAAUGGAUAUCUCGGCUCUCGCAUCGAUGAAGAGCGCAGCGAAAUGCUAUACUUGGUGUGAAUUGCAGAAUCCCGCGAACCAUCGAGUCUUUGAACGCAAGUUGCGCCCGAGGCCAACCGGCCGAGGGCACGUCCGCCUGGGCGUCAAGC